This 762-nucleotide long non-coding RNA is filed under the name Brassica rapa (field mustard). RNAcentral describes it as "long non-coding RNA (BRAP_LNC003084)". Lineage: Eukaryota; Viridiplantae; Streptophyta; Magnoliopsida; Brassicales; Brassicaceae. The record is from RNAcentral.
UGAACUGUAUAAUCGUGGUAGUUCAACAAAAUAAAUGUUGUUUAAAAAUUCCCAAUAAUGAUCAAAUGGUGUACGCAAAGGCUUUGAUUGUUUUUAUUUGACUUUUGUUUAUCUUUCAGCUUAUUUUGAUUUAUGACAUAAGCACGUACGUAAAUCACCACGGAUAUUGCAAACACGUUCAGUCCGUAUAUAUAUUGACAUAUUGGACUCGGGCCAUAAAUUAAAAGAUCAGUACAGAAAAUUAAACAAUUAUCACCUAAUUGUAAAGUUUUGUAAUCAAAAUAUCCCCGUCACAAGUUUCAAAAAAAAAAACCCCCAUCACGGAUCACCAUUGAUGGAAAAUGCAAUGAAAUGUGGACAAGGGAGUAGGAAAAUCUAGAAAAAUUGAUGGAGGAAAAAAGGAAAGAGAGAAAAUGAACUUUAUUUAUCAAUAUUAGAAAGAAAAAUAGAAAGUUGGAGAAAAAAAGAAAGAAAUAAUGGGACUUUUAUGGUUUUUAGCCAAAAAAAGAAAAAAAAAAUGUGGACACAUACAUAAUGAGAUGUGAUAGUCCGCAAUGAUGAUGUUUAUCACAAAGUCACAACCAGAUUAUGGUAGCGAUCACAUAAUUAGCAGUGUCGUUUACUCUUUAAUACUAGUAUUCUUAUAACCAUAUUAUAAAUAAAGAUUAUAACAUUCAUGAUGAAAAAUAAUCUCGUACGAUGCUUAAAAUUACAUCAAAUGAUUUCUCAAAACAAUUCACAACAAACAAUUUUAUAUCUACA